CGGUCGGUGUGGGCGUCGGGGACGCCGCCGAGGUCGUUGUCUUCGAAGCCGGGGUUCUGGACCUCGACCAUCCGGC
Molecule: transfer RNA, 76 nt
Filed under: Botrimarina colliarenosi
Lineage: Bacteria; Pseudomonadati; Planctomycetota; Planctomycetia; Pirellulales; Lacipirellulaceae
Description: Planctomycetes bacterium Pla108 tRNA-Asn
Source: RNAcentral